GACGGAAAGGACUGACUGGUGAAGUCACCGUUAACAGCGGCAGAGGCAAGUUCGAUUCUUGCUUCCGAUG
This 70-nucleotide transfer RNA is filed under the name Yokenella regensburgei. RNAcentral describes it as "tRNA-Val". Lineage: Bacteria; Pseudomonadati; Pseudomonadota; Gammaproteobacteria; Enterobacterales; Enterobacteriaceae. The record is from RNAcentral.